This 460-nucleotide ribosomal RNA is filed under the name uncultured bacterium. RNAcentral describes it as "partial 16S ribosomal RNA". It matches the Rfam family "Bacterial small subunit ribosomal RNA", at positions 338 to 795 of the family's 1533-position model. The record is from RNAcentral.
CCUACGUGAUGCAGCAGUGAGGAAUAUUGGUCAAUGGGCGCGAGCCUGAACCAGCCAAGUCGCGUGAAGGAUGACUGUCCUACGGGUUGUAAACUUCUUUUAUCAAGGAAUAAAGUGAGGCUCGUGUGCCUUUUUGUAUGUACUUUAUGAAUAAGGAUCGGCUAACUCCGUGCCAGCAGCCGCGGUAAUACGGAGGAUCCGAGCGUUAUCCGGAUUUAUUGGGUUUAAAGGGAGCGUAGAUGGGUUGUUAAGUCAGUGGUGAAAGUUUGCGGCUCAACCGUAAGAUUGCAAUUGAUACUGGCAGUCUUGAGAACAGGUGAGGUAGGCGGAAUGCGUGGUGUAGCGGUGAAAUGCUUAGAUAUCGCGAAGAACUCCGAUUGCGAAGGCAGCAUACUAAACUGCCACUGACAUUGAUGCUCGAAAGUGUGGGUAUCGAACAGGAUUAGAUACCCCUGUAGUC